Molecule: long non-coding RNA, 2541 nt
Organism: Pezoporus occidentalis (night parrot)
Lineage: Eukaryota; Metazoa; Chordata; Aves; Psittaciformes; Psittacidae
Exons: 3
Source: RefSeq, a predicted model, not a curated record
ACAAAACAAGCAGUGUGUUCAGUUUACUUGUUUGUAGGUCCAUUAAAAGAUGUAUCUUUACAUUUCUAGGAUUUAACUCAGGGCAAUGUAAAAUACUUUAUUAAAAUGUAUUAAUUGCAUACAUUAUAGAAAGAAAUAUCUUUCAGUUUCAUAAGUAUGUAAUGUUGGAUAUGUGUACUGGUCCCAGAUUAACAAUCGCAUUCCUCAUUGGACUCAAUUUAUUUUGUGUGUCUUCUAACUUUAGCUUAUUUAAGAAAUAGUAUAUAGAGCGGGUAUCAAAGUUUUUUAAAGUGUAUUUUUUUAGUCCCUGAACUCAGUGUGAACCCCUCAGCAAGAGGAGAAAAGCAUGAGGCAGACCAUUGCUGGCCUCCAUCAGACUGAGCUGUACUCUUCUAAAGUAGAAAUUCUUACGCAGACAAGUGUACUCAGGUCUUUUGUUCAGAGACAGUGACCGAAAAGGUAGGUCAGAGUUUUAAAUGCAUCUCUUUAGAGGGUAUUCAUACCCAGAGUGCAUCUCUCUUCAGUAGUAGCUAAACAGUAAAAAUCUUAAAGUGGAAAUUAAAGUAUGUAUUCCUUCUGUAAAAUGCUUUGGGACUGACUAAAUAGAUGCAAGCACAAAGCAAAGCCCAGUUUCCCCAUGAAGUUUCUAAAACUGGACAUACGGGUAAGUUUGGAAGCUGGCUGCAAGGUCAGGUAAGUAAAGCAACAUUAUAGUUUGGAAGAAUAUUUCUGCUGCAGUCCAAUACUUGAUUUUUUUUCCUCUUCUAUAAUUUCUUUUUAGCUCAGGUUUUCACCAUCCAUUGGAAGUAGAACACUUGUGCUCUGUAAUGAGUGUAAAUAUCUGUUGAAAUAGCACUUGCACAACACAGAUGUGUGCUGAAUAUGUUUUCCACUAGCUUUCUGUUGCGUAACAGAGAAAUUGGAACUAAAGGGGGGAAAGUAAUUAAAUCCCAUACACAAACUUCUAAGUGGAAAUGAGAAUAGAAUGUUAAGGAGAUACUGCUUAAGAAAGAUGCUUGAGCGUUGCAAUGAUGAGAACAGUAAAUAAUCUAUGCUUGUACAUCUUUCUUAGGUCAGAGCUUUUCUGUAGAGUCUUUCUCACGGUUUUUGGGUUGCGCACAAGUUACAGCUCAAGAUUUGCAGUGCAAACCCUGGCACACUGCAGCACAUGUGUGCAGUAGUCAGUGUUCAGAAUAGGGACCUACGGUGACCCCCAUCAGCCACUCAUUGGAAGUCCUACAUCAAUCUGAUCUUAGUGUUUUCCUAGCAAUCAUAUUUUCAGCUGUGUUCUUGUGGAACAGACUUCCUAAGCAUACUUCAUUUAAAAAGUAAUUUAAACUUCAGUACAGUGGCAUUAACUGACAAUAUUUUUAUUAAUGGUACACAUGAGUAGAAAAUAAUUGAACAGUAAUGAGGACAUUAAUAUCAGUAUUGUGAGCCAUAUACAGUUUAUAUUUUAGUAGAGCAUGUAUCUUCCAUCUUUUAUAAUGUACUUUGCAGAAAUAUAGAAUGUGAUUAUGCUUUUUUAGUGUGUAGACUUGCAGUUAUUGUUGCAUUAAGUUGUUUUGCAGCUUGUCCUGCUAUGUUUAAUACAGCUGACUAUAUUACUAUUUAAAUUUUUUCUCAAAAGGCAUAAAAAGCACAAUUGUUUAUAAAACAAAGUAUGAAAAUCUCUGUUUUGCUGUAUUUUACUCAAUGGUGCAGUAUAAAUUUGCUGCAGGAGAAUGAAGCUUAUGAUGGAAGAGUAAUGUAACUUCUGCACAGCUAUAGUAGAUGAGUAUGUCUGAUAAGUGUCAAGAUCUGCCUCUUUAACCAAGGACUCAAGAAGGAAGCUAAGGGAAGAAAGGUGGCUCACAACUUGUAUAUUAAAGCUCACAUUUAAAACUAGUGACAAAGAUUUAAAAGUAUUAUCAACUCAAGGUUAAAAUACAAGUAAAAAGUCCUAUCUUUCCUUAACCUUAUUUAAUAAUUUAGGUUUCCCUAUGUAUUUUUUCAUUUCACCUUUUCAUGCCCUGCUUUCCCUUUAUAUACUGUAGACAACUCUUGGCUAGUUUUUAAUUUUCAAGCUGUGUUUCUUGGAGGUACUUGAUAAUAAAUCACAACAGUGUGUUUCUUUCCAUUUACUGCAUGAAAGAGGGCACAUCAUUUCUGAGUUGAAUGAUAAGUCAGGUUGCCACAAAUGCUUUGGCAUAAGACCUUGACAUUCAUUCCUUCUCCACAGGUAUUUAUGUCAGGGAAACUCAUUUAUUUGAACACUCAUGGAAAGUAAAUACAAGAAGUGUCCCAGUAUGACUAAGGCAAAUUCACUGGAAAAUAGAAGAAGAAAAAAGAUGGAAUGAAAGCUGUCCAGGGCGGCUUAUUUGUUACAGUUGUGUAUUCAGUUUGAAAGCAGAAGGACUUCUAAGGGCAAAGCCUUUGUUUUGUGACUUGACUCAAGUCUCUGGGUAAUAAUGACUUCCUUCAGAGAUUUCUGUUGGAUGUGGGUUAUCUGGACACCAGCAAACUUAAACAUCAGUAGACCUCAGGGAACAGGAAAAAUAU